This 452-nucleotide ribosomal RNA is filed under the name uncultured bacterium. RNAcentral describes it as "bacterial SSU rRNA". It matches the Rfam family "Bacterial small subunit ribosomal RNA", at positions 340 to 784 of the family's 1533-position model. The record is from RNAcentral.
UACGGAAGGCAGCAGUGGGGAAUAUUGCACAAUGGGCGCAAGCCUGAUGCAGCCAUGCCGCGUGUAUGAAAAAGGCCUUCGGGUUGUAAAGUACUUUCAGUCGUGAGGAAGGUGUUAAGGUUAAUAACCUUAGCAAUUGACGUUAGCGACAGAAGAAGCACCGGCUAACUCCGUGCCAGCAGCCGCGGUAAUACGGAGGGUGCGAGCGUUAAUCGGAAUUACUGGGCGUAAAGGGCACGCAGGCGGUUAAUUAAGUUGGAUGUGAAAUCCCCGGGCUUAACCUGGGAAUGGCAUUCAAGACUGGUUAGCUAGAGUCUUGUAGAGGGGGUAGAAUUCCAUGUGUAGCGGUGAAAUGCGUAGAGAUGUGGAGGAAUACCGGUGGCGAAGGCGGCCCCUGGACAAAGACUGACGCUCAUGUGCGAAAGCGUGGGGAGCAAACAGGGAUUUAGAUA